UGGGGAAUAUUGGACAAUGGGCGCAAGCCUGAUCCAGCCACGCCGCGUGAGUGAUGAAGGCCUUCGGGUCGUAAAGCUCUGUGGGGAGGGACGAACCGCCGGAUGUUCAUAGCAUCCGGCAUGACGGUACCUCCUUAGCAAGCACCGGCUAACUUCGUGCCAGCAGCCGCGGUAAUACGAAGGGUGCAAACGUUGUUCGGAAUUAUUGGGCGUAAAGCGCACGUAGGCGGCAUUGCAAGUCGGAUGUGAAAUCCCUCGGCUCAACCAAGGAAGUGCAUCCGAAACGGCAGUGCUUGAGUACGUAAGAGGAACGCGUAAUUCCAGGUGUAGAGGUGAAAGUCGUAGAUAUCGAGAGGAACACCAGUGGCGAAGGCGGCGAUCUGGGAAGAUACUGACGCUGAGGUGCGAAAGCGUGGGGAGCAAACAGG
This 428-nucleotide ribosomal RNA is filed under the name bacterium. RNAcentral's name for it is "partial 16S ribosomal RNA". It matches the Rfam family "Bacterial small subunit ribosomal RNA", at positions 355 to 776 of the family's 1533-position model. The record is from RNAcentral.